This 296-nucleotide ribosomal RNA is filed under the name uncultured bacterium. Its description in RNAcentral is "partial 16S ribosomal RNA". It matches the Rfam family "Bacterial small subunit ribosomal RNA", at positions 505 to 796 of the family's 1533-position model. The record is from RNAcentral.
GUGCCAGCAGCCGCGGUAAUACAGAGACCUCAAGCGUUAUCCGGAAUCAUUGGGCGUAAAGCGUACCGAUAGGUGUUUAUGCAAGUCAGAUGUGAAAUCUCCGAGCUCAACUCGGAAUCUGUCAUUUGAAACUGCACAACUAGAGGGGCAAAGAGGAAGCUAGAACGAACGGUGUAGUAGUGAAAUGCGUUGAUAUCGUUCGGAAUACCGAUAGCGAAGGCAGGCUUCUGGGUGCCAUCUGACACUGCUAGGACGAAAGCGUGGGGAGCAAACAGGAUUAGAAACCCCGGUAGUCC